RNAcentral lists this ribosomal RNA (447 nucleotides) under uncultured bacterium. RNAcentral describes it as "bacterial SSU rRNA". It matches the Rfam family "Bacterial small subunit ribosomal RNA", at positions 355 to 825 of the family's 1533-position model. The record is from RNAcentral.
UGGGGAAUCUUGGACAAUGGGCGCAAGCCUGAUCCAGCCAUGCCGCGUGGAUGAUGAAGGCCUUAGGGUUGUAAAAUCCUUUCGCCGAGGACGAUAAUGACGGUACUCGGAGAAGAAGCUCCGGCUAACUUCGUGCCAGCAGCCGCGGUAAUACGAAGGGGGCUAGCGUUGUUCGGAUUUACUGGGCGUAAAGCGCGUGUAGGCGGGUCGUUAAGUUGGGGGUGAAAUCCCGAGGCUCAACCUCGGAACUGCCUUCAAAACUGGCGACCUGGACCCAAGUAGAGGCAAGUGGAAUUGCGAGUGUAGAGGUGAAAUUCGUAGAUAUUCGCAGGAACACCAGUGGCGAAGGCGACUUGCUGGACUUGUGGUGACGCUGAGACGCGAAAGCGUGGGGAGCAAACAGGAUUAGAUACCCCCGUAGUCCCUGAGCGGGCUGGCAAGGCGCAU